UAAACCGUACUGAAAACCGACACAGGUGGUCAGGUAGAGAAUACUCAGGCGCUUGAGAGAACUCGGGUGAAGGAACUAGGCAAAAUAGCACCGUAACUUCGGGAGAAGGUGCGCUGGCGUAGGUUGUAGGAGUAUACCUCCGAAGGCUGAACCAGUCGAAGAUACCAGCUGGCUGCAACUGUUUAUUAAAAACACAGCACUCUGCAAACACGAAAGUGGACGUAUAGGGUGUGAUGCCUGCCCGGUGCUGGAAGGUUAAUUGAUGGUGUAAUCGAAAGAGAAGCUCCUGAUCGAAGCCCCAGUAAACGGCGGCCGUAACUAUAACGGUCCUAAGGUAGCGAAAUUCCUUGUCGGGUAAGUUCCGACCUGCACGAAUGGCAUAAUGAUGGCCAGGCUGUCUCCACCCGAGACUCAGUGAAAUUGAAAUCGCCGUGAAGAUGCGGUGUACCCGCGGCUAGACGGAAAGACCCCGUGAACCUUUACUAUAGCUUGACACUGAACAUUGAAUUUUGAUGUGUAGGAUAGGUGGGAGCCUAAGAAGCAGUCACGCCAGUGAUUGUGGAGGCGUCCUUGAAAUACCACCCUUUAACGUUUGAUGUUCUAACGAAGAUUGCGAAACGCGGUCUCGGACAGUGUCUGGUGGGUAGUUUGACUGGGGCGGUCUCCUCCCAAAGAGUAACGGAGGAGCACGAAGGUUUGCUAAUCACGGUCGGACAUCGUGAGGUUAGUGCAAUGGUAUAAGCAAGCUUAACUGCGAGACAGACAAGUCAAGCAGGUGCGAAAGCAGGUCAUAGUGAUCCGGUGGUUCUGAAUGGAAGGGCCAUCGCUCAACGGAUAAAAGGUACUCCGGGGAUAACAGGCUGAUACCGCCCAAGAGUUCAUAUCGACGGCGGUGUUUGGCACCUCGAUGUCGGCUCAUCACAUCCUGGGGCUGAAGUAGGUCCCAAGGGUAUGGCUGUUCGCCAUUUAAAGUGGUACGCGAGCUGGGUUUAGAACGUCGUGAGACAGUUCGGUCCCUAUCUGCCGUGGGCGUUGGAGAAUUGAGAGGGGCUGCUCCUAGUACGAGAGGACCGGAGUGGACGCAUCACUGGUGUGCCAGUUGUCUCGCCAGAGGCACUGCUGGGUAGCUAAAUGCGGAAGAGAUAAGUGCUGAAAGCAUCUAAGCACGAAACUCGCCUUAAGAUGAGUUCUCCCACACAAUAAGUGUGUAAGGGUUGUUGGAGACGACGACGUAGAUAGGUCUGGUGUGUAAGCGGUGUGAGCCGUUGAGCUAACAGAUACUAAUUGCCCGAGAGGCUUAACUAU
Molecule: ribosomal RNA, 1305 nt
Filed under: Glaesserella parasuis
Lineage: Bacteria; Pseudomonadati; Pseudomonadota; Gammaproteobacteria; Pasteurellales; Pasteurellaceae
Description: partial 23S ribosomal RNA
Rfam family: Bacterial large subunit ribosomal RNA
Source: RNAcentral